CGCGGCGACACGGGGAGGCGCGCGGCCGGUCGUCGCCGGCGCCGGGUCCAGGCCGAGGGCGGCUGCCCCUCCGCUCGGCAUUGAGGAGGCGGGAGGAGGGGCGCGGCGAGGCGCACGGGAAAUCUGAUAGCAUUCUUUUUAUUGAAACAAGAGCAAUGAAAGUCCCUGAAAAAUGGAUGACACUCUGGUCCGUGAAGCCCAGAGUUUGUUUGGCCCAGGACAUUCGAGAAGUGUUGGAAACUGGCAUGCCGUGUGGUGCAGCGGGCCACAGGGAUGACGGGACUCUAGCAAAGAGGCUCAGACAGCCUACCUCUAACACCGGAUCCAGAAUCAUCUUCACACGGAAAGGAGGUAACGUGCAGGUCAGGGAGACAUAGCACGCGUCACCUCAUUCAGCGGUUGUCAGCCCCAGCUGCACAGUGACAUCCCAGCCCCUGCCCAGACCAAAGAAAUCCGACUUCUUUUCCUUUAAUCUCAUGUCUGCAAUAGAUUCAGGGCAAUGCCACAUCGCCAACCCCCACCCCCAGCGUGACCCUCCUUGCACAAAGAUAAAGCAAGCUGACAUUGGGGAGAGGGGUGAAGGAGACCCCAGAAAUAUUCAGUGAGGUGGAGUGCCAGAGCUUCAAAGGCCUCUGCGUGGCAGCUGUCAGUAAGAGCCACAGACACCUUAGCUCAGCAGGCUCAUCGGACUCCCUUCUGGCUUCCUGGGGGCCUGUGACACAGGGCAGGUGUUUUUGAAUCCGGAUGAAGGGAGCAAGGGAGAUGCGCCACCCAGAGAAAGAAGCCAGGGGAGGACGGCGGAUGGGGACACUGUUCCAGGGACUGCAUCUCUCUCUCCCCAGAACCAGGAGUACAUCCUUUUUGCAGCACUCCCCGACCUCUCUUGCCCUGAUGCAGCCAGGGAAGGAUGGCCUUCUCACAUGCCUCCUCCGAGAAAAAGUUCUCCAGAACCAGCAAGGCCAGGACCCUGGUGUCCAGUCCAUAUAGGACCUGCCCCAAGAGCUCUUGAAAACACUGGAGACAAGAUUGUUUUUUGUUUUUUGUUGUUGUUGUUGUUGUUGUUUGGGGGUUUUUUUUUAUUGUUUUGUUUUUGUUUUUGUUUUUGACAAGAAUGUUUUUAACUGGGCCUCCUCUGCCAUCACCCGGAGCUCACACCUCAGGUUACCUGCCUCUGUUGGAUUCAAAUUGAUCCAAAUUAAAAUCCCUGCUACAAAUUCCUCCUGGCUUUGCCAUCUCAGUC
Long non-coding RNA from Canis lupus familiaris (dog), 1240 nucleotides. RefSeq lists it as uncharacterized. The transcript has 5 exons. NCBI's taxonomy places the organism in Eukaryota, Metazoa, Chordata, Mammalia, Carnivora, Canidae. The record is from RefSeq and is a predicted model, not a curated record.